Molecule: ribosomal RNA, 510 nt
Filed under: uncultured bacterium
Lineage: Bacteria
Description: partial 16S ribosomal RNA
Rfam family: Bacterial small subunit ribosomal RNA
Source: RNAcentral
AUUGAACGCUGGCGGCAUGCCUUACACAUGCAAGUCGAGCGGCAGCGCGGGGGCAACCCUGGCGGCGAGCGGCGAACGGGUGAGUAAUACAUCGGAACGUGUCCAGUAGCGGGGGAUAACCUGUCGAAAGAUAGGCCAAUACCGCAUACGACCUACGGGUGAAAGGGGGGGACUCUCGGGCAACUGAGGGCCUCGCACUAUUGGAGCGGCCGAUGUCGGAUUAGCUAGUUGGCGGGGUAACGGCCCACCAAGGCGACGAUCCGUAGCUGGUCUGGGAGGACGACCAACCACACUGGAACUGAGACACGGUCCAGACUCCUACGGGAGGCAGCAGUGGGGAAUGUUGGACAAUGGGCGCAAGCCUGAUCCAGCCAUGCCGCGUGAGUGAAGAAGGCCUUCGGGUUGUAAAGCUCUUUCGGCGGGGACGAAACGGUCCGUGACAACACCACGGACUAAUGACGGUACUCGCAGAAGAAGCACCGGCUAACUACGUGCCAGCCGCCGCGGUAA